Molecule: ribosomal RNA, 459 nt
Filed under: uncultured bacterium
Lineage: Bacteria
Description: partial 16S ribosomal RNA
Rfam family: Bacterial small subunit ribosomal RNA
Source: RNAcentral
CCUACGGGGUGCAGCAGUGAGGAAUAUUGGUCAAUGGGCGCGAGCCUGAACCAGCCAAGUCGCGUGAGGGAAGACGGUCCUAUGGAUUGUAAACCUCUUUUGUCGGGGAGCAAAAGACGCCACGCGUGGCGUUCCGAGAGUACCCGAAGAAAAAGCAUCGGCCAACUCCGUGCCAGCAGCCGCGGGAAUAAGGAGGAUGCGAGCGUUAUCCGGAUUUAUUGGGUUUAAAGGGUGCGCAGGAGGAAGAUCAAGUCAGCGGUAAAAUUGAGAGGUUCAACCUCUUGGAGCCGUUGAAACUGGUUUUCGUGAGUGAGUGAGAAGUAUGCGGAAUGCGUGGUGUAGCGGUGAAAGGCAUAGAUAUCAGGAGGAACACCGGUGGCGAAGGCGGCUUACUGGACCAUAACUGACGUUGAGGCUCGAAAGCGUGGGGAGCGAACAGGAUUAGAUACCCCUGUAGUC